This 478-nucleotide ribosomal RNA is filed under the name uncultured bacterium. RNAcentral describes it as "partial 16S ribosomal RNA". It matches the Rfam family "Bacterial small subunit ribosomal RNA", at positions 28 to 523 of the family's 1533-position model. The record is from RNAcentral.
GACGAACGCUGGCGGCGUGCUUAACACAUGCAAGUCGAACGGUAAGGCCCUUCGGGGUACACGAGUGGCGAACGGGUGAGUAACACGUGGGUGAUCUGCCCUGCACUUCGGGAUAAGCCUGGGAAACUGGGUCUAAUACCGGAUAGGACCACUGCCUGCAUGGGUGGUGGUGGAAAGCUUUUGCGGUGUGGGAUGGGCCCGCGGCCUAUCAGCUUGUUGGUGGGGUGAUGGCCUACCAAGGCGACGACGGGUAGCCGGCCUGGGAGGGUGACCGGCCACACUGGGACUGAGAUACGGCCCAGGCUCCUACGGGAGGGAGCAGUGGGGAAUAUUGCACAAUGGGCGCAAGCCUGAUGCAGCGACGCCGCGUGAGGGAUGACGGCCUUCGGGUUGUAAACCUCUUUCAGCACCGACGAAGCGCAAGUGACGGUAGGUGCAGAAGAAGGACCGGCCAACUACGUGCCAGCCGCCGCCGUAA